RNAcentral lists this ribosomal RNA (372 nucleotides) under uncultured bacterium. RNAcentral's name for it is "bacterial SSU rRNA". It matches the Rfam family "Bacterial small subunit ribosomal RNA", at positions 524 to 898 of the family's 1533-position model. The record is from RNAcentral.
UACGUAGGGGGCAAGCGUUAUCCGGAAUUACUGGGUGUAAAGGGAGAGUAGGCGGCAUGGUAAGUUAGAUGUGAAAGCCCGGGGCUUAACCUCGGGAUUGCAUUUAAAACUAUCAAGCUAGAGUACAGGAGAGGUAAGUGGAAUUCCUAGUGUAGCGGUGAAAUGCGUAGAUAUUAGGAAGAACAUCAGUGGCGAAGGCGACUUACUGGACUGAAACUGACGCUGAGGCUCGAAAGCGUGGGGAGCGAACAGGAUUAGAUACCCUGGUAGUCCACGCCGUAAACGAUGAGUGCUAGGUGUCGGGGGGGAACCCUCGGUGCCGCAACUAACGCAAUAAGCACUCCACCUGGGGAGUACGACCGCAAGGUUGAA